This 253-nucleotide ribosomal RNA is filed under the name uncultured bacterium. Its description in RNAcentral is "partial 16S ribosomal RNA". It matches the Rfam family "Bacterial small subunit ribosomal RNA", at positions 524 to 776 of the family's 1533-position model. The record is from RNAcentral.
UACGAGGGGGGCGAGCGUUGUUCGGAAUUAUUGGGCGUAAAGGGUGCGUAGGCGGUUUGGUAAGUCUGCUGUGAAAUCUAUGGGCUCAACUCAUAGUCUGCAUCGGAAACUGCCGGGCUUGAGUGUGGGAGAGGUGAGUGGAAUUCCUGGUGUAGCGGUGAAAUGCGUAGAUAUCAGGAGGAACACCUGUGGCGAAAGCGGCUCACUGGACCAUAACUGACGCUGAUGCACGAAAGCUAGGGGAGCAAACAGG